Molecule: unclassified non-coding RNA, 281 nt
Filed under: Hevea brasiliensis (rubber tree)
Lineage: Eukaryota; Viridiplantae; Streptophyta; Magnoliopsida; Malpighiales; Euphorbiaceae
Source: RNAcentral
GCCAAUAACAAAGGUAUUACCAAUGUUAACUCCAACAGGAAGGGCAGGUGCAUGAUUAUCAUCCACAAAAUUGCUAGAACUUAAUCUUUUUCGUUCCAAAUAUUUUUGAGGUAUCGAAAUGCAGGAUAGCUCAUUCAGCAAUCUCAAAUGUUGCAAUUCAUACACCUCAUAAUGAUAAGUUGAAAGUAAUCUGACCCCAAGAAUGUAUAAAAAGCAUGGAUUAGAAGUAGAUACAACAAUCAAAUCAUGUCCAACGGCCCCUAAACUGAUACUCAUAUUAU